Molecule: long non-coding RNA, 1278 nt
Filed under: Sorghum bicolor (sorghum)
Lineage: Eukaryota; Viridiplantae; Streptophyta; Magnoliopsida; Poales; Poaceae
Description: long non-coding RNA (SBIC_LNC002082)
Source: RNAcentral
CUUGUUAAGAUUUGUCACAAAUUUGAUGGAGGUAACCAGUGUCGUUGCCGACUGUCCCAGACACUUCUGUGACAAACUCAGACUCAGCGAGCUAGAUCUGCAUGCACCAGAGGGGCGGGAAGGGCGGUGGAUUGGAUAUGUAUAUAUGUCAGCAUGUCAAGCAAUGUAUUAAAAUGUCAGCAUUGUCGCAUACUUUCAUUUUGGUUUCAGAGAAUUGCAAAUGCUUUAGUUUAUAUUAGCUGUUAAGAGUCCCAUUGAUUUGGAUGUCUGUAUUUCAAAUUAAAGUGGCAUCUCUGUCGGAAUGAAGCAAAAGUAAUACAAAAAUUUAGAUGACACCUGAGGCAGCCCAUUGAUUACUCGAAUACCACGAGCAUGAGUCGAGGUCUUUAUUUAUCGAAAUUUAUGACAGAGGAAGCACACAUCACAUUGACCACUUUAUUAGCAAGUAGCAACCAACUGAAGUAGAAGGGUAGACACACCACACUGACAAUUUUAGUGACAAACUAGUAGGGAAUGAAAUGGAAGCAGAAUCUGGAACCAAGCUGCUUCUCAGAGUCUAGAGGGGGCGCACGUAAACGCCAAUGGCCUCAACGAAUUCCCCACCACGUGCAAAGAAGCCCAUGAUGCCAUUGCCUGGCUGCACGGGGAUGGUGAAUGGAGCAUCCUUCUCCUUCCCGUCCCCCCAAGGCCCAUAGGUCUUGUUAAGGUUUGUCACGAAUUUGAUGGAGGUUAUCAACUUAUUGGUACCGCUGUAGGGGUUGCCCACAGUCCCGGAUACUUCUGUGACCACCUCAGACUCGCCAAGCUUGAUCUGCGUGCACCAACACCAUACCAAGAGGGGAGAAAAUGGUGGAUUAUAUUGGUCAUCACUCAUCAUAUAUAGACGUUUUCUUCUUUACGAAUCUGUCGAGCAAUCUACUACGUCAUCUACAAUGCACGUGGUCCACUUACCGUGUGAGGAUCUCCACCGGGACCGCCCCAGCGACCAGCUGAGUGCUUCUGGGCAGUGUAGUCGAUAUAGGAGAAUGCAAUGGAGUCCACGACCCAGCCAGUGUAAACGGUGAUGCUUUCGAGAGACCUGGGUGCUUCUAUGAUGUCCAUUGUUGACCCUCCACUCCCACCGAACAGCCCAAUUUUUGUGACUGGAUACUGUGUGUAUGCAAUAUAGGUAAUAUAUAAAGUUGUAUUAUUUUCUCAGAAGCAACUAAAAUAAAGCUACCGACUUGAUGAACAACUACUUGUAUAUAUAGUAACGUAUAAUUAAUUAUUGUGUGGCUA